GUAAGGGAGAGGUAGGUAGGGGGUAAGAGAAGAGAUUAUUAAUUCAACUGGCGACAACACAAGCAAUGCGAAGAGCAACCAACGCUAAAUCAUCUAAAACGGUCAAACAUCUGUUAUUGUUUUGCAACCAGUAAAUGCAUCAUUUUAAGAGCUUCGAGGUCAUAUUGACAACAACACAAUCUGGCAAUGCAACAAGAAGUUGGGUGGAAGUAUUUUGUCAAGACAUGUCUGCUUCAAUCAAGUUGUGUGACAUUUAGAGAGAGCAAAACAACAGGCGAGUGACAGGAGGGCUGAGCAGAGUACGUUGCCUCAUAACAGUUUUUUUCUUUCCCCCCAACUUUCACUUUGUGAUGAAAUAUUUUGGACAUGGACAUUUUGGUAGGUUUUUUUUUGGAAAUCUCAGAGUAAAAGAUCAUUCUACAUUCUUUGAGGGAUACAGAUCAAGAGUACAGUUUUGGCAAUGUUAGCCUUGCUAUUAUUGCUAAUUGCUAAUAUACUAAAGCUGGGUCAGAAGGUAAUCUUUAGAAUUUUACUCCUUAAAACCCUGCUGAAUGACGACUGCUUUCUGACACAGGACAGGUGAAAGUUUUCCAAAAAAGCGCAGACUUUAAAUGAGCCACAAAAUGGCGAACUGCAUGUCUGCAAUGAGCCCAGAAAAGUCAAAGACGUGAAAUCAAAAUAUUACCAAAUUUCAAUUUUUGUCUGUUAUUUUAGAGGCAAUACAUUCAAUUCAGUUUAAAAAUCCGGAAGUUUAGGUAUUUCAUUGAAAAGUUAAGGAGAAAAUAGAAGAAAGGUCAACACAAGACUGAGAUUACUGGCGCGAAUUUGUGUGCUUAUUGUUCAGUAGGCAGGCGAGCCACCUCCACACAGUGAUGACGCUCCUUGGGGAAUCUGUAGGAGGAAAAAAUCUUCAUCGAAGAGAAACGCAACGAGGAAAUGAAACAGGAUAAAGAGAGGCUUCAGGCUUUGAAUGAGUAAAGUUAUAUUCUUCUGUGUAUUUUAUUCACCUAUAAUCUUUUCCUUUAGUUUUUCAGGAGAUCAUCCUAUUUCAUUCAUGUUGAAAAUCAUUUGUUAGAAGCUUCAUAAAAAAAAAAAAAAGUAUGAAUGUUACUGGAAACCACCCAAAAAUCGGAUUAUAGAUUGCAGCCUUUGGCAUCGCCAUCACUUAGCCGUUUCAUGGAUGCAGAUGCAGCUGUUAAACAUUAAUUCAAGUGACUCACUUGAGCAACACUUAUGAAUGGCAGGUGUGUGUGUGUGUGUGUACUCUGCCUGUUCUCACACAGCCUGAGAAAAUGCGACUGUGCUACAUGUAAACGUGCGUGCCAGCGGUUGAGCCUCUGGAAGACUUUUACUGCUCUCCGUUUAUAGGAAGCAUGUGUUCACGCUUACCAUGCGAGCGAAGAAAACAAUGUAAUUCCCAGAAACGCUGACACUUCGGGCAUUGUGAAGAAACCAUUAAAGUCGUGUCCACUGACGUGAUUAGCGUGACUGAAUAAAAUCGCUGCCUUUGGACAAUGUGAGCGUCCGAUUUAAGAUUAUAUGAUGGAUUCGUCAUGACGGAGCACAAUAAAAUGUCAAUUUGUACCUUA
Molecule: long non-coding RNA, 1589 nt
Organism: Poecilia latipinna (sailfin molly)
Lineage: Eukaryota; Metazoa; Chordata; Actinopteri; Cyprinodontiformes; Poeciliidae
Exons: 2
Source: RefSeq, a predicted model, not a curated record